GAUGAAGAACGUAGCGAAAUGCGAUAAGUAAUGCGAAUUGCAGAAUUUCCGUGAGUCAUCGAAUCUUUGAACGCACAUUGCGCCCAUUGGCAUUCCGUGGGGCAUGCCUGUUCGAGCGUCAUUUACCCCCUCAAGCUCCGCUUGGUGUUGGGCGUCUGUCCCGCUUCGCGCGCGGACUCGCCCCAAAGGUAUUGGCAGCGGUCGUGCCAGCUUCUCGCGCAGCACAUUGCGCUUCUCGAGGCACCGGUGGGCCCGCGUCCAUCAAGCUCACCCCCCCAGUUUGACCUCGGAUCAGGUAGGGAUACCCGCUGAACUUAAGCAUAUCAAUAAGCGGAGGA
Molecule: unclassified non-coding RNA, 338 nt
Filed under: soil metagenome
Description: partial contains 5.8S ribosomal RNA, internal transcribed spacer 2, and large subunit ribosomal RNA
Rfam family: 5.8S ribosomal RNA (bases 1-121)
Source: RNAcentral